UACGAAGGGUGCAAACGUUGCUCGGAAUUAUUGGGCGUAAAGCGCACGUAGGCGGCUUUGCAAGUCGGAUGUGAAAUCCCUCGGCUCAACCAAGGAAGUGCAUCCGAAACUGCAGAUCUUGAGUACCGGAGAGGGUGGCGGAAUUCCCCAAGUAGAGGUGAAAUUCGUAGAUAUGGGGAGGAACACCGGUGGCGAAGGUGGCCACCUGGACGGAUACUGACGCUGAGACGCGAAAGCGUGGGUAGCAAACAGG
Molecule: ribosomal RNA, 253 nt
Filed under: uncultured bacterium
Lineage: Bacteria
Description: partial 16S ribosomal RNA
Rfam family: Bacterial small subunit ribosomal RNA
Source: RNAcentral